This 489-nucleotide ribosomal RNA is filed under the name uncultured Gammaproteobacteria bacterium. RNAcentral's name for it is "bacterial SSU rRNA". It matches the Rfam family "Bacterial small subunit ribosomal RNA", at positions 60 to 540 of the family's 1533-position model. The record is from RNAcentral. Lineage: Bacteria; Pseudomonadati; Pseudomonadota; Gammaproteobacteria.
AGUCGAGCGGUAACAUUUCUAGCUUGCUAGAAGAUGACGAGCGGCGGACGGGUGAGUAACGCGUAGGAAUCUACCUAUUGGUGGGGGAUAGCCCAGGGAAACUUGGAUUAAUACCGCAUAAGCUCUUAGGAGGAAAGCGGGGGAUCUUCGGACCUCGUGCCAAUAGAUGAGCCUGCGUGAGAUUAGCUAGAUGGUGGGGUAAUGGCCUACCAUGGCGACGAUCUUUAGCUGGUCUGAGAGGAUGAUCAGCCACACUGGGACUGAGACACGGCCCAGACUCCGACGGGAGGCAGCAGUGGGGAAUAUUGGACAAUGGGCGCAAGCCUGAUCCAGCCAUGCCGCGUGUGUGAAGAAGGCCUUCGGGUUGUAAAGCACUUUCAGAGGUGAGGAAGGGUGUGCCGUUAAUACCGGUAUGCUUUGACGUUAGCCUCAGAAGAAGCACCGGCUAACUCUGUGCCAGCAGCCGCGGUAAUACAGAGGGUGCAAGCG